ACGCAGUGCUCAGCUUCUGUUGCGUCGGAAAGUUUCAUGAACCUUAUCACUUAGAGGAAGGAGAAGUCGUAACAAGGUUUCCGUAGGUGAACCUGCGGAAGGAUCAUUC
Molecule: ribosomal RNA, 109 nt
Filed under: unidentified
Description: Cladocopium sp. ex Porites okinawensis partial 18S ribosomal RNA
Rfam family: Eukaryotic small subunit ribosomal RNA
Source: RNAcentral